ACUCGAACUCGGAUCCUUCAGAAUGGAAAGGUGAAGCAUUUCCACGCGGCCAAUCGGCCGACUUUUUACCGCUCGGCCAGCACAUAAUGUCAGAUAACGACAAGGUUCGACAUUACGGCAUGGUUCGUAGUGAAGUCCUGUAUGCCGUCAUUGUGUGUUUAUUAAAAAAAGGAAAAAAAAUGAAAAAUUCAGACAUUAUGAUCUUAUAGCAAAAUAAAGUACUGUAUUUGAAAUAUUAAAUUUAUAUAAACAUAAAAUCCAACAUAUCGAACAUCGAUGUAUGACGCCAUGAUUUUAUGAAGUCGCUAUCUAUUUAUUAAAAAGGGAAGAAACAAACAUUUAUAGCGAAGUACAGUAUAUUCUUCGUUACCAAAUAAAAUGUCAACAUCUUUUGGCGCCACCAUGAUGUCAUGAUGGCGUCAUAGGCUGAUGCGUAUUUCUGAUUUCACCCAUUUCGGCCUUAAACUGAUGUCAUUCGUCGAUAUUUUGUGACAUCAACCACUUUACGUCACCGCGAGACGAUGACCACGCUACUAAGGCUGCAUAUAAAGAGUAUACUCAUCGGCUACCAUUUUUGGUCGGUAGUCGAUGCGCGUUGGUAUCGUGAUUGGUGCACUUUUCUGCCGAUAUGGGAGGUGUUUCAGCUCCGAAUUGUACAAAUAGCUCUCGAAAAGAGUUCUGGCUCUUUAUAUUUCCAAGAAAUAUGGAUAGAAGUACAAUUUGAGUACAGAAUUGUUGUCACGACAGAUGGAAACAAUAGCUAAUUCGAAACUUUAUGAAACAAGUAUUGAAGUUAAUAUGUAAUGAGAAUUAGAAACAUAUUCUAAAAUGGCAAAAAAGCUAAACAAAGAUGUACCGAUGAGUCAGGUUCAACUGCUAAAAAAGCUAAACAAAGAUGUACCGAUGAGUCAGGUUCAACUGCUAAAAAACUAAAAGUUAUGUAAUAUGUUGAAAAUUUUAUCGAGUUGGUUCUAUUUUUUUCACUUGUGGUCGGUUAUAUACAAUAUAAACAAUAUUACAUUACAUAACUUGUGACCAGUUAUAAACAAUAUUUAUUUUAAAGCAUUUUUAGAGAGAAAUUUAAGUUUCAAAUAUGAAACUCGCUAAAAUUUUAACGAAUCUGGGAUGAUGAAAAUUAGUCAGCCAGAGGUAAUUAACAAUAAAAAAGUGUUAAAUAAAAAUACUUCAAUUUUACCAAAAAAUCUUUGCACAACAGUUUUUAAUCGAUAAGAAAUCUCAUCAUACACACUCGGUCUAUACCAGUGAUGUUCAAUCU
Molecule: long non-coding RNA, 1276 nt
Filed under: Androctonus crassicauda
Lineage: Eukaryota; Metazoa; Arthropoda; Arachnida; Scorpiones; Buthidae
Source: RNAcentral